CCUAAGUAUUAAACACAACCCUAGGUUUAUUCUUCCACCCAUUUCCGCCGACCUCUCUACUUCCCAAGCCUCCCGAUUUCCAUCUCUGCUCUUCUCCGUCGCCUAGCCCGACGCCCAAGUGGUGAGGUCGAUUACCACAGCUAGCCGCCGACGAUCUCCGCCACCGCCCUUUGAGGUUAUUCCGUGCCCUAGCCAUCUCCACUGUUGCUCUCCCUCUCGCCACUGCCUAACGCGGCCGCUGCCACCCGAGGCCGCGCCACCCUCCGUCGAUUGCCGAGCAUCGCUGUCGACCCUCUCCUCUUUAGACGACAGCUCGACCAGGGGUUGGGCGAUGUGCUGGCUGCGCACAAGUCUUACUGAGCCGAGCCCUAACCUCUCGGUAUGCUCCCGAUCCUUCUCAGCCGCCGCCCUUCGCCUGAUUCAGCACCUCAGCUAUCACCUGGCAUCGCCGUUGACACACGCCGGCCAUCGUCUCUGGUCAGGCACUGUCAAUCCCACAGUAGUCCACCUAUUCUUGGGUUCCCUUCGAGAUAGUACCCUGGUCAUCACCACCUGCACUGUCGGUGAGUGGUUGUUUUGUGCAGAUUUUCUUCCUCACUGGGACUAGUUCCUCUUGUGUGUUCUUGUCAGGAUGAGCUCCAACAGCAGCUUCACGGUCACAUACUCAUCGACCACUUACCUUUGUUUUGAUUAUGCGUUUGAUUCUGCUUCUAUUGCUCAAUUGGUUUUCUGAUGGAGAAGGAGCAGUUCCAUCAUAUCACUGAUGAGGUAGCAGGUAAGGGAUUUAUGGAGUCACCUGGAUAUCAUGUCCGCCAGUUCCAUGUCACAUUCGAGGACGAUAUUAUGGUUUUGGUAUACCAUACGUUAGUUGUGUUUUCGUUAUGUUUCUUGUUCUUGUGUUUGUGUAUCUUGUAUUUGGUUUGAUAUUAUUGUGUCAAGCCGAGCCAGCUCGCAGUUAGUUGCUUUGUGUUUUGUGA
Molecule: long non-coding RNA, 977 nt
Organism: Zingiber officinale
Lineage: Eukaryota; Viridiplantae; Streptophyta; Magnoliopsida; Zingiberales; Zingiberaceae
Exons: 2
Source: RefSeq, a predicted model, not a curated record